AGAUUGUCCGAAGGUAGUGAGUUAUCUCACUUGAUUGUUCACAGUCAGUAACAGAUUGAACUCCUUGUUCUACUACUUUCCCUCCUUCUCACUACUGCACUGGACUAGUAUAAA
Unclassified non-coding RNA from Microcebus murinus (gray mouse lemur), 114 nucleotides. It matches the Rfam family "Y RNA". Rfam says of the family: Y RNAs are components of the Ro ribonucleoprotein particle (Ro RNP), in association with Ro60 and La proteins. The Y RNAs and Ro60 and La proteins are well conserved, but the function of the Ro RNP is not known. The record is from Ensembl. Lineage: Eukaryota; Metazoa; Chordata; Mammalia; Primates; Cheirogaleidae.